RNAcentral lists this ribosomal RNA (230 nucleotides) under uncultured bacterium. RNAcentral describes it as "partial 16S ribosomal RNA". It matches the Rfam family "Bacterial small subunit ribosomal RNA", at positions 567 to 791 of the family's 1533-position model. The record is from RNAcentral.
GACGUGCGCAGGCGGUUAUGUAAGACAGAUGUGAAAUACCCCGGGCCUCAACCUGGGAACUGCAUUAGUGACUGCAUAGCUGGAGUACGGCAGAGGGGGAUGGAAUUCCGCGUGUAGCAGUGAAAUGCGUAGAUAUGCGGAGGAACACCGAUGGCGAAGGCAAUCCCCUGGGCCUGUACUGACGCUCAUGCACGAAAGCGUGGGGAGCAAACAGGAUUAGAUACCCGGGU